UACGAAGGGGGCUAGCGUUGCUCGGAAUCACUGGGCGUAAAGCGCACGUAGGCGGAUCGUUAAGUCGGAGGUGAAAUCCUGGAGCUCAACUCCAGAACUGCCCUCGAUACUGGCGAUCUUGGAGUCCGGGAGAGGUGAGUGGAACUCCGAGUGUAGAGGUGAAAUUCGUAGAUAUUCGGAAGAACACCAGUGGCGAAGGCGGCUCACUGGCCCGGUACUGACGCUGAGGUGCGAAAGCGUGGGGAGCAAACAGG
Molecule: ribosomal RNA, 254 nt
Filed under: uncultured bacterium
Lineage: Bacteria
Description: partial 16S ribosomal RNA
Rfam family: Bacterial small subunit ribosomal RNA
Source: RNAcentral